RNAcentral lists this ribosomal RNA (504 nucleotides) under Escherichia coli. Its description in RNAcentral is "bacterial SSU rRNA". It matches the Rfam family "Bacterial small subunit ribosomal RNA", at positions 1029 to 1533 of the family's 1533-position model. The record is from RNAcentral. Lineage: Bacteria; Pseudomonadati; Pseudomonadota; Gammaproteobacteria; Enterobacterales; Enterobacteriaceae.
GUGAGACAGGUGCUGCAUGGCUGUCGUCAGCUCGUGUUGUGAAAUGUUGGGUUAAGUCCCGCAACGAGCGCAACCCUUAUCCUUUGUUGCCAGCGGUCCGGCCGGGAACUCAAAGGAGACUGCCAGUGAUAAACUGGAGGAAGGUGGGGAUGACGUCAAGUCAUCAUGGCCCUUACGACCAGGGCUACACACGUGCUACAAUGGCGCAUACAAAGAGAAGCGAUCUCGCGAGAGCAAGCGGACCUCAUAAAGUGCGUCGUAGUCCGGAUUGGAGUCUGCAACUCGACUCCAUGAAGUCGGAAUCGCUAGUAAUCGUGGAUCAGAAUGCCACGGUGAAUACGUUCCCGGGCCUUGUACACACCGCCCGUCACACCAUGGGAGUGGGUUGCAAAAGAAGUAGGUAGCUUAACCUUCGGGAGGGCGCUUACCACUUUGUGAUUCAUGACUGGGGUGAAGUCGUAACAAGGUAACCGUAGGGGAACCUGCGGUUGGAUCACCUCCUUA